GAUGAACGCUGGCUACAGGCUUAGCACAUGCCAGUCGAGGGGAAACGACGGGGAAGCUUGCUUCCCCGGGCGUCGACCGGCGCACGGGUGAGUAACGCGUAUCCAACCUGCCUCUGACUGAGGGAUAACCCGUCGAAAGUCGGCCUAAUACCUCAUGGUAUCGUCUGCGGGCAUCCAACGACGAUUAAAGAUUUCAUCGGUCAGGGAUGGGGAUGCGUCUGAUUAGCUUGUUGGCGGGGUAACGGCCCACCAAGGCUACGAUCAGUAGGGGUUCUGAGAGGAAGGUCCCCCACAUUGGAACUGAGACACGGUCCAAACUCCUACGGGAGGCAGCAGUGAGGAAUAUUGGUCAAUGGGCGAGAGCCUGAACCAGCCAAGUAGCGUGCAGGAAGACGGCCCUAUGGGUUGUAAACUGCUUUUAUGCGGGGAUAAAGUGAGGGACGUGUCCCUCAUUGCAGGUACCGCAUGAAUAAGGACCGGCUAAUUCCGUG
RNAcentral lists this ribosomal RNA (491 nucleotides) under uncultured bacterium. RNAcentral's name for it is "partial 16S ribosomal RNA". It matches the Rfam family "Bacterial small subunit ribosomal RNA", at positions 28 to 507 of the family's 1533-position model. The record is from RNAcentral.